RNAcentral lists this ribosomal RNA (26 nucleotides) under Xylaria enterogena. RNAcentral's name for it is "partial 28S ribosomal RNA". Lineage: Eukaryota; Fungi; Ascomycota; Sordariomycetes; Xylariales; Xylariaceae. RNAcentral also lists the same sequence under 1 other name. The record is from RNAcentral.
GUGACCUCGGAUCAGGUAGGAAUACC